This 253-nucleotide ribosomal RNA is filed under the name uncultured bacterium. Its description in RNAcentral is "partial 16S ribosomal RNA". It matches the Rfam family "Bacterial small subunit ribosomal RNA", at positions 524 to 776 of the family's 1533-position model. The record is from RNAcentral.
UACGGAGGGUGCGAGCGUUAAUCGGAAUUACUGGGCGUAAAGCGUGCGUAGGUGGUUAAUUAAGUUAUCUGUGAAAUCCCUGGGCUUAACCUGGGCAGGUCAGAUGAUACUGGUUGACUCGAGUAUGGGAGAGGGUAGUGGAAUUUCCGGUGUAGCGGUGAAAUGCGUAGAGAUCGGAAGGAACACCAGUGGCGAAGGCGGCUACCUGGCCUAAUACUGACACUGAGGCACGAAAGCGUGGGGAGCAAACAGG